RNAcentral lists this long non-coding RNA (504 nucleotides) under Elaeis guineensis (African oil palm). RNAcentral describes it as "long non-coding RNA (EGUI_LNC036015)". Lineage: Eukaryota; Viridiplantae; Streptophyta; Magnoliopsida; Arecales; Arecaceae. The record is from RNAcentral.
AUGACAAUCAGCACUAAACAUCCUAGAAUGAAGCCCAACAUUUAUUUAUUUAUUUAUUUUCAAUGCUUUUCAAGCAUAUAAUAGUAACUUGUUAUUAUCCAUUAAAUUUAAAAAAUUAGCGUUCACUAAUUUAAAGCCAGGUUACUAUUAUUGAUUUCUUUAAAUAUCAAUUUCAGCCCCAUUCUACUAGAUAUUCUUCUUACCAUAUCUCUAAAUAGUCCUUUAGUAAGCAGAUCCGUUAAAUUAUUACCAGACUUCAUGUAGACAAUAGUAAUGAGUCCACUCAAGAUUAUUUCUCGAAUAUAUUCAUGUCGAAGAAUUAUACAUUUAGACUUAUCAUUAUAAAUAUUACUAUAUGCUUUAGGAUAGCAUUGAUUGUGGCCAUAACUCUAUUUCUGACAAUAAAUUUUUUAGACAUUUUGCUUCUUUGCCCAUAGUAGAUAAUGCUAUAAAUUCUGACUCCAUGGUUGAAUAUAAAAUACAUGUUUACUUCUCAGAGGCCCA